AUGAAUUUGAAUUCGCUCAUACAAGACUCCAUCACCUGGAUUUGGCAUCAUGGUGGGGAAUAUUCGUUCAGCUUGGCCUACGAGGUGCAAUUCCAUGGAUCCCAUCCAAAGUUCUCAACCCAUAAAGUAUGGAAGGCGUUUGCGGAGCCAAAGUGCAUGCUCUUCUCUUGGCUCAUACUUCACAACAGGAUCCUCACGGCUGAUCGGCUUGCCAUACGGGGCUGGCCGAUUUACCCUAUUUGCUAG
RNAcentral lists this ribosomal RNA (246 nucleotides) under Triticum aestivum (bread wheat). RNAcentral describes it as "partial small subunit ribosomal RNA". The record is from RNAcentral. Lineage: Eukaryota; Viridiplantae; Streptophyta; Magnoliopsida; Poales; Poaceae.